RNAcentral lists this ribosomal RNA (485 nucleotides) under uncultured bacterium. RNAcentral's name for it is "bacterial SSU rRNA". It matches the Rfam family "Bacterial small subunit ribosomal RNA", at positions 28 to 525 of the family's 1533-position model. The record is from RNAcentral.
GAUGAACGCUGGCGGCGUGCUUAACACAUGCAAGUCGAACGAGGUCCAUCCAAACUUGUUUGGGGAAGAUCUAGUGGCGAACGGGUGCAUAACACGUGAGAAACCUGCCUCAGUCUCUGGGAUAACAGUUGGAAACGACUGCUAAUACCGGAUGCCGUCACACCAUCACAUGUUGGAAUGACGAAAGAUUUAUCGGACUGAGAGGGUCUCGCGGCCUAUCAGCUAGUUGGAGAGGUAACGGCUCACCAAGGCAUCGACGGGUAGCUGGUCUGUGAGGAUGAUCAGCCACACUGGGACUGAGACACGGCCCAGACUCCUACGGGAGGCAGCAGUGGGGAAUCUUGCACAAUGGGCGAAAGCCUGAUGCAGCAACGCCGCGUGCGGGAAGAAGGCCCUAGGGUUGUAAACCGCUUUCAGUAGGGAAGAAAAUGACGGUACCUACAGAAGAAGGUGCGGCCAACUACGUGCCAGCAGCCGCCGCGGUA